UACGUAGGGUGCAAGCGUUAAUCGGAAUUACUGGGCGUAAAGCGUGCGCAGGCGGCUUUGUAAGUCAGAUGUGAAAUCCCCGGGCUUAACCUGGGAACUGCGUUUGAAACUACAAGGCUAGAGUGUGGCAGAGGGGGGUGGAAUUCCACGUGUAGCAGUGAAAUGCGUAGAGAUGUGGAGGAACACCGAUGGCGAAGGCAGCCCCCUGGGUUAACACUGACGCUCAGGCACGAAAGCGUGGGGAGCAAACAGG
RNAcentral lists this ribosomal RNA (253 nucleotides) under uncultured bacterium. Its description in RNAcentral is "partial 16S ribosomal RNA". It matches the Rfam family "Bacterial small subunit ribosomal RNA", at positions 524 to 776 of the family's 1533-position model. The record is from RNAcentral.